GCCGAGGUAGCUCAGCCUGGCUAGAGCGCUAGACUCAUAAUCUAGAGGUCGGGGGUUCAAUUCCCCCCCUCGGCA
This 75-nucleotide transfer RNA is filed under the name Microcaldota archaeon. RNAcentral describes it as "tRNA-Met". It matches the Rfam family "tRNA". From Rfam's summary of the family: Transfer RNA (tRNA) molecules are approximately 80 nucleotides in length. Their secondary structure includes four short double-helical elements and three loops (D, anti-codon, and T loops). The record is from RNAcentral. Lineage: Archaea; Nanobdellati; Microcaldota.